Long non-coding RNA from Passer domesticus (house sparrow), 2269 nucleotides. RefSeq lists it as uncharacterized. Lineage: Eukaryota; Metazoa; Chordata; Aves; Passeriformes; Passeridae. The transcript is spliced from 3 exons. The record is from RefSeq and is a predicted model, not a curated record.
CCAGCGCAGCCCAUGAGGGCCACGGCGCAGGCCGAGCUGGGAACUGCCAUCCCACCUGGAAUAUUCACACUUUUAAACCUUGCACUCAUCUGAGCAAGUGCCAUUGGCAAUUCUACACUGGGCACGACACAAACCAUUUCCCAAGGUGUCCACAGAAAGGCGGGAGGGGAGGUUGUCUCUCCCUCCCUCUCUCCGCACCUACAAGCUGCCCCUCAGCCCAAAUCUCAUUUGGCAGAAGCUGCUGGUAAACUGUGGUGUUAGCACUUGCCAUCAAGCCAGAGUGUUUCUCUAGCUGCUCAUUGUCCACCACCAUGCUCAGAGGAUGAAGAAACCAUGGAUGUUGAUGUACCAAGCCCUGAGGGCGGAUUCCUGAACUCUUCCUGUGUCAUUCCUUUGUUCCUUGGAAAUCCUUAAUAAUUUCUUGUUACAGUAGUUUUUCGGGUUUUUUUAUAAGAAUCAGUGAAUUAUUUGUAUUCCAGCCACGUGGGGGAUACUAGCAGAGAACAAAUAAAUCUGAACUGACAAAGCAGGAAAUAUUUCCUAAUUAUUUAGAAGACUGCUGAAGAGAGCUAGGAAACAGACAAAGAAAACCCACAAAAGGAUUAGUUUGUGAAUAAUUUCGUUUGCUGGGCAUGAGAUGUGCCUGUCAUGUUAACUUUAGUUAUCAACUUUCUCCAGAAGACAAGGAAAUGGAGACAGAAGUGCCACCAAAGGGGAGGUACCGAGUGCCCACUCAUUGCACCCGAGAAGAGUGAGCCCCUGCUUGCCCAGUGUCAAGGUGUUUGCUUUGGCUUCAUUUGAAAUAGAAGGAAAUUAGGUCAAAAUUUCACCCAUUUUCUGCUUUCUUGUAUUAGCCAUAUAAUAGACUGAGAAACACUGCUUUAUGACACUGUUCCCUGUUUCACCCCUCUUUUUGAAUUGCUAUAAAAAUAACUGACCAUAGCCAGAACUGGAUUAUGCUUUCCAGCCUUCAGCCUCUCUUAUCAGACCAUGUGGAUGUGUGGGGCAUUUAGACACCUUUUUUCCCCUUCCCUAAUAUCUCCUUUACUGAAACCUGUGCCCCCUCAUCAACACCAAAAGAGCAAAUGAUGCCCAAACCUUUAACAGCAGUCCCCUCCUGUACCAGCGCUUGGGACCACAUGAAUUAAAAAAUACCAUGUGCCAGCUACUGAGGUACGAUGACAAUAUGAAAUUGUCUCUGCUGUUACUUUGCACAAGAAAUAAUGAAGAACUUUCUUUAAUCAGGACUUACAUGCCCUAGAGAAACUGUGGGCACUUCUUUCAGACAGAGCCUUUGUUACAAAAGGAGUGACGGCUGCAGGGGAAAAGCCUGCAGAAUAAAUAACAUUUUAUACUCCACUAGGUGCUAUAAUAACACCCUAUAGUCUUUCAGGAGAUCUUGCUGGUGGAUUUGUGCUAUUUUGAUGAUAGCUGUCGAUUCACAGUUCCUCAGACCAAUUGGCAAUAGGGCCCCUACUGUGUUGUAGAAAGCAUGCACUUUAGCUUUAAAAGCUCAAACCUUUAAUCAAAUUCGAAAUGCCAGAGUAGAAAUUUCAAAUCACUGUCAGUAUAACUUUGCUCACAUCUUCAAGUCUGGAAGUCUCGAAAAUGCUUUUUCAACUCUAUGGUACCAAAUGGAAUUUGCUUAAAUACAGUGGUGAGAAUUUUUAAUGAGGAACAAUUUGUGUUGCUUUAUUUCUCUGUUCAGAUAGAGGCAGUAUGUUAAGCCAUGUUUUCCCUCAUUUUGCUUCUUCAAGUUAAAGCCUUAAACUGUCUUAAUCUUCACCAUUCUGUUUUCACUCUCAGAACAGCUUUUUAAAGGAUUUUUAAAAUGAAAUAGACUGGCUGAUAAAAUUUUACUAAAAAAUCUUGAAAACUGCUAUCUGACAUUCAGCUUUUAAGUUACUCAUUACUAACACUGUAUUGUAUGACAAAAUCCUUAAUGGCUGAUCUUUAACACUUUCCCCCAACAAAACAGACUUCAUCAAGCAAAAAAAAAAAAGAGAUUUCCAAAUUCCACACUUCUACUUUUCACUCAGGACCCAAACCCCAUACAAUAAUAAAGUUCCUAUCAUCAUUAUCAGUCAGAGGGGAAUCCAACUAGCAUUGAGCCAUUGGACACUGGUGUUUAGAGAUCAUUUUCUUUGCACUGCUGUUGCAGUAUCCCUCUGCCAGAGGGGAGGACAUCAUGCACCUGGCAAUGAAUCCUCCUGCAAAUGUUACCAAUUUCUGAGUAACAGCCAUAAAAUCAUUAUCCUGAAAAUAUGAU